Molecule: long non-coding RNA, 1158 nt
Filed under: Oryctolagus cuniculus (rabbit)
Lineage: Eukaryota; Metazoa; Chordata; Mammalia; Lagomorpha; Leporidae
Description: lncRNA (ENSOCUG00000034236.1)
Source: RNAcentral
AUGACUUCCCUCCACCACACAGCCAAGGGGCUGCACAUGGCCUUACCUGGCCUCCUGCCUUGCAUCCCUCACAUUGUGUACGGAGUGGGAUCAGGACCCCUCUCACAGUCACUCGGGACGAGGGCAAUGCUUAGCCCCAAACAGAACUGUCAAGGGGCUUUUCCGAAGCAGGCUGGAGAGCCGGGUGACGUGAUGGGUGUCCCCCUACUCAGCCUCCAUGUGAGGGAGACAAAGGCCCCUCUGCCCAUCCCCUACCCCCUUCAGGGAACUGCCUGGCCCCUCCUCCAGCUUACGCUCAGGGCCUGGCCUGCCCGUCGGCACCAGCUCCACGACAAGUUCAUUGUCCUCCUUGCCCCGGGCCAGCCAGCGGUUGGCUUCGAACUUGUACUGCUCAAUCACCUCCUGCAUCCCCGGCCCAAACUCCUCCUCUUCCUCCUCCUCCUCGGUCUCCUCCUCCUCCUCCUCUUCCGACGAGGACUCCUCCGAGGACUCUUCCUCUUCGGCCCCCUCCUCCCCCUCGUCCUCCUCAUCACUGCCCUUCUUCUUCUUCUUCUUCUUCCUCUGCAGCUUGGCCUUGAGCCGCUCCUUCUUGAGCAGCUGCUGCAGCUUGGCCUUCUCCUUCUUCCUGCGGGACUCCUCCUCGGGUGUGAGCUCCUCCUCCCGCACCACCAGGUGCCGCAGCCACACCGUGUCCACGAACCAGCUGGGCCCGAAGCCCUCGCCCGUGUGCCCGAGCCGGAUCUUGUAGACCUCGCCCACGUCCGCCGCCUCCAGCUGUGCAAAGCGCAGGGCAGUGGCUGGGGUGGCCCCGGCGCCUGCCCACCUUCCCUGGGGAGCCAGGCGCAGGGACUGUGCGCUGAGCUGCAGGUGGGGCGGCUCCCCGGUUCCUGCCACACGCAGCUGGUGCCUCUGGCCUGGCCCCAGCUCCACCCAUGUUUAUUUCCUUCUAAACCCUGUGGUGUUCAAACUGGUCUCCCUGGCCCUCUCUCUCUCUCUCUCUCUCUCUCUCUCUCACACACACACACACACACACACACACACACACACACACAGUCUCUCUCUCUCUCUCUCUCUCUCUCUUCCUCUCAUUCCUAUUUCAUCUUAGCCCAUGCCCUUCCCUACCUGGCCAGCCUUACUCCCUCCUCUAUCUCAAACUAA